RNAcentral lists this ribosomal RNA (774 nucleotides) under Staphylococcus aureus. RNAcentral's name for it is "partial 23S ribosomal RNA". It matches the Rfam family "Bacterial large subunit ribosomal RNA", at positions 1389 to 2158 of the family's 2925-position model. Lineage: Bacteria; Bacillati; Bacillota; Bacilli; Caryophanales; Staphylococcaceae. The record is from RNAcentral.
UCCUAAGCUGAGGCCGACAGGCGUAGGCGAUGGAUAACAGGUUGAUAUUCCUGUACCACCUAUAAUCGUUUUAAUCGAUGGGGGGACGCAGUAGGAUAGGCGAAGCGUGCGAUUGGAUUGCACGUCUAAGCAGUAAGGCUGAGUAUUAGGCAAAUCCGGUACUCGUUAAGGCUGAGCUGUGAUGGGGAGAAGACAUUGUGUCUUCGAGUCGUUGAUUUCACACUGCCGAGAAAAGCCUCUAGAUAGAAAAUAGGUGCCCGUACCGCAAACCGACACAGGUAGUCAAGAUGAGAAUUCUAAGGUGAGCGAGCGAACUCUCGUUAAGGAACUCGGCAAAAUGACCCCGUAACUUCGGGAGAAGGGGUGCUCUUUAGGGUUAACGCCCAGAAGAGCCGCAGUGAAUAGGCCCAAGCGACUGUUUAUCAAAAACACAGGUCUCUGCUAAACCGUAAGGUGAUGUAUAGGGGCUGACGCCUGCCCGGUGCUGGAAGGUUAAGAGGAGUGGUUAGCUUCUGCGAAGCUACGAAUCGAAGCCCCAGUAAACGGCGGCCGUAACUAUAACGGUCCUAAGGUAGCGAAAUUCCUUGUCGGGUAAGUUCCGACCCGCACGAAAGGCGUAACGAUUUGGGCACUGUCUCAACGAGAGACUCGGUGAAAUCAUAGUACCUGUGAAGAUGCAGGUUACCCGCGACAGGACGGAAAGACCCCGUGGAGCUUUACUGUAGCCUGAUAUUGAAAUUCGGCACAGCUUGUACAGGAUAGGUAGGAGCCUUU